This 3153-nucleotide long non-coding RNA is filed under the name Solanum lycopersicum (tomato). RNAcentral describes it as "partial TCONS_00070399". Lineage: Eukaryota; Viridiplantae; Streptophyta; Magnoliopsida; Solanales; Solanaceae. The record is from RNAcentral.
AUUAUCCCAUACCCAUUGCAUACAACACAUCACCAACAACGUGCAGGAAAACCGACUCGACCCCAGUUACGUUUUCUUCCAAGUAAUACCCAAACCGCGAAGCCCAGCAAAUCACUGCGUUUUCCUCUCCUUCUCCCUUAUCUUCUUGUACAAAACCGUUUGUUGAUAUGCCAGAUGGAGCAAUCUCUAUGCUUGUUCGUCGUUGCCUCAUGUAGAAUCAAUGGCUAUCCUCUUCAUUCUGUUGAGAAAUUGUACAAAUUUGUACCUGAUUUAGCUGGCAACCUUAUCCUCCAAGGAUUUCGAAUUCAAAUUCAUUCUGUUUUCCCCCUUUUUAUCAAACUUUAGAAGUCUCCUACAAAUACCCCUGUCUCAUUCUUUGAAUCUGUUGGUCUUUUUUGUGACUGAAAUAAUACAAGAAAAAAUAUUCUAACGGAUAGAAGGAAAUACAAAUAUAUAAAGAAUCCCAUAGAAACAGGGGAGGAGAACAUGUUCAAGAAAAUAUACUUACAUCAUCUUAAGAAAGGAAAUAGAUAAGCUCAUAUACAUAUAUACCUAUCGAAGUCGAGUUAGAAGCAGAAGUAUUGCUUAAUUCUUGAUUGUCGUUCGAACUCGAAUUGUGUAUUGAAAAUGAGUCCCCUGCUAGCACCGUCUCAAGUUUUCUGCCGCAGAGAAGGUGAACUUCUUCUAUCUCAACUCACUUGUUAUUUUAUUUUGUUAUGUUUCAGUAAACAUGAUGGUCUCUGUUGGUUAUACCCCUCUUGCUUGUUUGUUUUUUAUCCUCUGUGAUAGUUAUGAGAGUUUCAUCUGGGUUAGAGUAGUUUGUUUCAUUUUUGAGGUCGAUAUAUUCGUUAAUGUGACAUGCUCGUCUUCAAGCACUUACGGAGAUAUAGUAUAGAAUGAGAGGUCUGUCGAUUUUGUUCAUAGGAUUUGAAUAUGGUAUGUUACUGUUGGAUUGAUUCUUGUAAUUUUUUUAGCAUGUUCUCAUUCUUUUACAGUGUUAGACUCGAGUAUAUGGUUCAAGAAUACAUAUGAGGCUGCCUACUUUCUUUGAAAUAUUUUUUUUAGUCUAAAAUCGUUGUUCUUCUCCUUUAUUCCUUCUCUUCGGUCAUCAUGGGUGGGCGUUUUCGUUUUGCAGUCGAUGUUAAUCCAUUACUCUCUCGUUUUAAGUUGGAUAUGAGCCAAAACACUAGUUAUUUGAAGCUCUUUUCGGAUGUUUAUGGUAUUAAAGGGCUGGUUUCACUCUGUUGUGGCUUUGAAAUAUAUAUUUUCUGCUUUUAAUAUGUACUGAACCUCAUGGCUGCUUAUGUUGAUCCAAUGUGUUUUUUUCCUUGUUAGAAGUCGGAGAGAAUUCCUAAAAAAGGGGAAGUUCACCUAUUCGUUCUCAUGCUUGAAUUUUCAUUUACAGUGACAUAAUUUGUUAGAUUUUACUCACUACAGUUUGUACAAUAAGCAUAAGUUCUUACUUAGACUUUCUUUCCCGUAGCAUUGGUUUUUUUUUAUAUCAUGUCUGCCUUACUAAAAAUGCUUAACCUUAUUUAGUUGGAUCAGUGCCAAUUUGAUAAGCCGACUACGACAUUCAUAUCAUAAUUAUUCUACCAUGAAUUGUUCCAAUCAUGCACAAAUUGUUCAUUCGAUAAAAUGCAGCACAUUACCUUUGCAUUUUAUGUUGAUUCUGAUUGUUUAUGAGUAAUUUUGUACUCCCAUGAGCUAUAAUAUGCAUGCAUGAAGUAUAUGUUGUUGCCUAAUUUGUCAGAUUGGCAUAUCGAUUUUGUACACUUUUGUUUGAUUCGUUUGUUUUCUUUUUGAGACAUAUAUGUAAUUUCAAUUUGACUCCCCUUAAAGUUGCUUCUUUAGUAAAAUCUGCUUUCAUUCAAGAUAUAUCUUGUUUAUCAUAUUAUUUCAUAUGCUAACCCAUUUCUAUAUUAUUGCAUGUAAAAAUUCCUUUCGAGUCCUUACGGACUUUACUUCAUCAUUUUGCAUUAUCUCUCGUUGAGCCGUGUAGGCUCAAACCUACCCCCCCCCCCCUCCGCGUCUCUGCUGUCGGUCAGCCUCUAGAAAGACGUACAGGUAAAAAGCAGCAAAUACACUGCUGAGAAUUAAAUUGCAGAUCCUCCAAAGCCUGGAAAUGGUCGGUUAUACAUGUUUUAUAUACUGAUAUACAGGUCGAAACAUGAAUAGGGGGGCCAAAUUCGAAACGCAGGUUAAUAACAGUAAAGAUACACUGCUGGAAAAGAUAUUUCAGCCCUCAAAAGUCGAAAAUUAAGCUGAUAUACAGUCUGUAUACACUGGUAUACGGUCAAAAUAUAUGGUAUAUAGUUGAAAAUGUGCCAUUACAGGGAAAACGCAAAAACAAAAUAUAUGAAUAUCUGGAUGAAAAUUACAGGUGUGGGAGCUCAAGAAUUAGCUAUAUGUAGUAUGUAUAUACAGGAUAUACACUCAAUGUAUGUCAUGGAGGAAAAAAUGGAAAGGGGCCAAAAGCCCAAGGAAAAUCCAGCAGGCCCAAAUUGGUUCCAAAGUGGGCAAGUUUUGGGUCAUUAUUUCAGAAUUAGGACAGGUGGGCCAAAGCCCAAUUUGGUGAAUUUGGGUAAUUAACCCAAGUUAAAAUACUCUUUCCUCCUCCUCCUUUAUCUAUAUUAGUAUUAUUAUUUUUGGAUUGACUAACACUUUGAUUGAAUUUUGUUAAUUCCCAACGAUAGCCAUUUAUUGUAAUACCUAUAUAUUUUUCCUAUGUCUUAUUAUUUGGUUUGAUCAAAUGAUUUUGUUAACGCUUAAUCUACUCCCUUAGAAUAAUUCCUUUUAGUUAAUUACCUUAAAAGAAUAAACAAUCAAAUAGAGUAGCGACAAUAGCAAGUAAAUAAUUUAGAGGAGUUUUCUUCUACUUAGUUCAAAAUAAAAUUAAUAAGGUUAUUUAGUCAAGUCGCCGGUCAACCGCGAGUUAGUAGGCAUUCCGAGGUUUUAACACCUUCUCGGAAUGUACAUUUGAAAUUCCUACCUUUUUUCAACUGAUUUUUAUCUGUUUUAAACAUAUGAAAUUAACUAUGAAAUUAACUAUGGAUUUCCAAACAUAUGAAAUUAACUAUCAUGUUUUAGCACACAUCUGGAAUCCAAGCCAACAACUAUUAACUACAACAAUGUACUAACAUAAACAGGGAC